This 727-nucleotide ribosomal RNA is filed under the name Campylobacter coli. RNAcentral describes it as "partial 23S ribosomal RNA". It matches the Rfam family "Bacterial large subunit ribosomal RNA", at positions 465 to 1190 of the family's 2925-position model. Lineage: Bacteria; Pseudomonadati; Campylobacterota; Epsilonproteobacteria; Campylobacterales; Campylobacteraceae. The record is from RNAcentral.
CCUAAAUACUAAUACCAGAUCGAUAGUGCACAAGUACCGUGAGGGAAAGGUGAAAAGAACUGAGGUGAUCAGAGUGAAAUAGAACCUGAAACCAUUUGCUUACAAUCAUUCAGAGCCCUAUGUAGCAAUACAGGGUGAUGGACUGCCUUUUGCAUAAUGAGCCUGCGAGUUGUGGUGUCUGGCAAGGUUAAGCAAACGCGAAGCCGUAGCGAAAGCGAGUCUGAAUAGGGCGCUUAGUCAGAUGCUGCAGACCCGAAACGAAGUGAUCUAUCCAUGAGCAAGUUGAAGCUAGUGUAAGAACUAGUGGAGGACUGAACCCAUAGGCGUUGAAAAGCCCCGGGAUGACUUGUGGAUAGGGGUGAAAGGCCAAUCAAACUUCGUGAUAGCUGGUUCUCUCCGAAAUAUAUUUAGGUAUAGCGUUGUGUCGUAAUAUAAGGGGGUAGAGCACUGAAUGGGCUAGGGCAUACACCAAUGUACCAAACCCUAUCAAACUCCGAAUACCUUAUAUGUAAUCACAGCAGUCAGGCGGCGAGUGAUAAAAUCCGUCGUCAAGAGGGAAACAACCCAGACUACCAGCUAAGGUCCCUAAAUCUUACUUAAGUGGAAAACGAUGUGAAGUUACUUAAACAACCAGGAGGUUGGCUUAGAAGCAGCCAUCCUUUAAAGAAAGCGUAAUAGCUCACUGGUCUAGUGAUUUUGCGCGGAAAAUAUAACGGGGCUAAAGUAA